Molecule: long non-coding RNA, 6184 nt
Organism: Pungitius pungitius (ninespine stickleback)
Lineage: Eukaryota; Metazoa; Chordata; Actinopteri; Perciformes; Gasterosteidae
Exons: 4
Source: RefSeq, a predicted model, not a curated record
GAUACGAGGGCAGAGUGCCGAUGAGGAGCGCCCGCCUGUUCUACGACAUCAGCGAGCGAGCGAGUCUUACUUCCUGCUCAACUCCACCCUGCACUUCUCCUACACGCACCUGGUGUGCCGGACAUCACAGGGCAACGCUGAUGUGGCUUGGGACGCUCAUCUCAACGUACAGAGACUUCAGGUACGAGGCUCGGGGCCGACUGAGCCAACGACAGGCCGAGCACGUUGCACGUCACGAGAGACAAACGAUCCCUUCUUCUUCUUCUUCUUCUUUGGGAUUUUACGGCAGCCGGCAUCCAAUAAGUUGCAUUGCUGCCAUCUAUGGGCCUAUCCCACUAUUACUUUACACUCUGUCAUACACUCCAGCAUCUCUUAAAAAUUUAAAAAGACAGUUCUUUCCCCACUCGCUUACUCCUAGAAUAUUUUCCAGAGUUAGAUCUUCCACGCCAAUUUCUCUCAGUCCUGAGAAUAGCUCCUGCCUUUGCCGAUCAUACUUCCUACACAACAUCAACACAUGCUCCACUGUCUCAGGUUCCAUACAUGAGCACAGGCCACUCUGAUGCUUUCCAAUAAUAUAUAAAGUGCUGUUCAAUCCUGUGUGACCAAUUCUCAUUCUAGCCAUAAUAACCUGCUCUUUACGACUGCUCCCCCCUCUGCUUUUAUUGAUAUUAACCGUAGCAUGUACCCUGAAUAGAUGCCUCCCUUUGGCUUCCUGCUCCCAUACUUGCUGCCACUUUAGCAUUGUUUCCUGCCACACUACACUUUUACCUUCUGCCUUAGAUAGAUUUAAAUUUACCUCUAUAGCCUCUUUUUGAGCAGCCCUUUUCGCCAAUUUAUCAGCCUUUUCGUUAUAUGUAAUGCCUACAUGAGCUGGAACCCACAUAAACGAAAUUUCUACCCCUCUCCUUUUCGCAUCUCUAAUUGCUAUUAAAAUCUCAUAUACAAGGUCUUGCCGCCUCUUUGACGACCCUUUCCCGAUACUACUGAUAGCUGACACAGAGUCACUACAUAUCAAUACUUUUUGGUUCUGAAUCUGCUCAGUCCAUUGCACUGCCAUCAAGAUUGCAUAUAAUUCCACUGUGAAUACACUUAAAAAAUUUGACGUUCUCUUAAAAUCUUGGACCUUCCACCUCUGAAUAAUAAAAGCUGCUCCUGUGGCACCGGUUGUUUGAUCUUUCGAGCCAUCUGUAAAAAUGCUAAUAUGUUCCUGAUAUCUCUCCAUUAUCUGACAUUGGACUGCAUAUACUAAAUUUGCCUCAGGAUUAUCCGUCUUAAUUUUAAGUAUCUCUAAAUCGGUUUUUGGGGCCUCUAAUAGCCAUAUAGGAACUGCUGGCCACAUUACCCCUGGGCAAAAGUUCUUAUCUUUUAUAGCCAUUUCCUGUGCCACUGCCUCCCCUGUCCAUCCAAAACUUGACAGUCUUGCCAUCUCUCUUUCCCAGCUUGUCUGAAUUGUACUGUUCACUGGGUGAUCCCCCUUUUGACCCAUCAGAUUUACCCAAUAAUUCGCCUGAAGCUGCUUUCUUCGCAGAUCUAAUGGCAUUUCUCCUGCUUCUACCUGCAAUGAACAUACUGGAGAAGUUCGCACGGCUCCUGUACAUAUUCUCAAUGCCUUAGCUUGGAUUACAUCUAAUCUGGCUAGCACUGACUUGGCUGCAGAUCCAUACACCAAGCACCCAUAUUCAAUUCUUGCUCUAAUUAAAUAUAUAUAUAUUUGCUUCAAGGAGACUACGUCUGCUCCCCACUCUGUUCCAGCCAGGCAUCUCAUUACAUUCAUUACCUUUUUACAUUUGUCUACUAUACUUGCCACAUGGUUCCUCCACGUAAGUCUAGGAUCAAAUACCACACCAAGAAAUUUAAAGCCUUGCACCCUUUCCAAAUUCUUACCAUACAACUUCAAGGUUAUAUUUUCGUAUAUUUUCCUCUUAGUAAAACACAUAUAUUUAGUUUUCUCAAUUGAAAAUCUAAAACCCCAUUUCCUUCCCCAAUCCUCUACUGACGUCAGAGCUUCCUGCACCUUCUUCAGUGUGUAUUUCACAUUUUUCCCCCUUUUCCAUAAGCUACCAUCAUCUGCGAAUAAUGACUUUCCAAUUCCUGGCUGAACAUUAGAAAACACAUCAUUAAUCAUUAUAUUGAACAGCAAUGGACUCACCACACUACCUUGUGGCGUCCCAUUUUCUACGAAACACCUUCUAGAUAUUGCUCCUCCUAUUUUCACCUGAAUGCUUCUAUUAUAUAAGAAGUCCAUUACCCAGUUAAACAUAUUUCCCCCAAUUCCUAGUAUGUGCAUUUUGAUUAAGAGACCUUCUACCCAUAGCAUAUCAUAUGCUUUUUCCACAUCUAUAAAUACUGCCACAACAGUCUCUUUCUUUACCUGAGCUUUUCUUAUUUCAUCCUCAAGACAUAUGAUUGAGUCAAUCGUACUUCUUCCUUUUCUAAAUCCACUCUGACAGCUAGCCAUCAGCCCCCUUUCUUCCAUAAAGUGCAUAAGCCUUCCAUUCACCAAUCUUUCCAUUAAUUUACCCAAGUGAGACGUUAAAGCUAUUGGUCUAUAACUUGCUGGAUUACUAGCAUCUUUCCCCGGUUUUCUUAUUGGUAAAAUAACUGCCUCUUUCCAUCCAGUAGGAAUCUUUCCCUCCUCCCACACUUUAUUAAAUAGAUUUAGAACCUUCUCUAUCCCUUUAUUACUUAAGUGCCUUACCAUGCUAUAGCAUAUUUCAUCUUGGCCAGGAGCUGAAUUCUUGCAUUUAUCUAAUGCAUUUCUUAACUCUCUCAUUGUAAAUGGAACAUUAUAUUUAUCAUCUAACUUCCCUUUCUUUUGGAUAUUCUCAGCAUAUACCCUCCUUGUUUCUUCCCUACCCAUUCUUUCUUCUUCUGAUAGAUUACUGGAACUAUGCACCUUACUCAAAGUAUUCGCCAUCAUUUCUGCUUUCUCUAAGUUCGACAUAGCCAGCUGCUCCCCAUCUGAAAGAAUUGGAUAAUCCCACUCUCUCUUAUUACCUUCCAUUUUCCUGAUCAUUCCCCACACAUCCUUUAUAUUAGUAUUGCUUCCGAUGUUACUACAAUAUCCCCUCCAGUAUGCUCUUUUCUUUUGCCUUAUUGUCCUUCUCACUUCUGCCUGUGCUUGUUUAUACUCUAUCAUAUGUUGAAAGUUAUGAGUUCUUUUUAACCUUCUAAAUGCUCUGUUUCUCUCCUUAACUACCUCCUUACAUUCACUACACCACCAUGGAACCGCUUUCCUUACAAGUUUACCUGAGCUUUUUGGUAUUGUAGCACUUGCAGCCAUAUAAAUACUCUGCCUCACCUCGAUUUCGUUCCUUUCAACAUCCAUUGUUUCCUGAUCUGACCUAAAAUAUGAAUCACUUAUUUCUAUAAAUCUCUCCCAGUCUGCCUUAUUGAACAUCCACCUUCCAUACCGAACUUCUGUGCUCCCCCUUACCUCAACAUUCAGUUUACAUAUGACUGGGUAGUGGUCACUUCCAAAAGUGCCGUCUUUAUACACUUCCCACUCACAUUUUAAAGCCAGUCUGCUAGACACAAGUGUAAGGUCUAAUACUGACUCCCUGCCCGAUCUAACAUCUAUCCUAGUCUUUCUACCAUCAUUCAUACACACUAACUUCCUAUCAUUCAUUAUCUCCUCAAUCACCUGUCCGUUAUUAUCUGUCUUAUCCCCCCCCCACAAUGUGUUGUGAGCAUUAAAAUCUCCACACCAUACAACAUUAUCCCUAUCCUGGCCUUCUAUUUCCUCCAUUUCUUUUACUUCUAGCUGUUUACAAGGAUUAUAAUAAUUUAUUAUUACUAUUCUCUUUCUAUCUGCCCAUACUUCCACUACCACAUAUUCUUGUUCCUUCCCUGUACCCAACACCCUAUAAGGUACACCCUUCCUUAUAAAGGUGGCACACCCCCCACCGCUACUUUGCUCCCUGUCUCGUCUAAUGAUAACGUAGUUAUUUAAAACAAAGUCAAAUCUGGGUUUUAGCCAUGUUUCCUGAAUACACAUUAUAUCGGGCUUUUCACUUUUAUUGUCUAUGUAUUGUUUAAAAUCUUGUCCAUUUGCUAAUAAGCUCCUUGCAUUCCAAUGUAGAAUGAACAUAAUAGAUAUGAUCACCCUUUACCUAUUUCUUGGCUUGAAUGAACGGCAAGACAAUCCCUUAUUUCUUCCCAUUUUAGGUCUAGCAUGCCCAAAUGCUGCAUUGCUGCCUUUGCAAUGAUUUGAAUCCUUUCUGUUUUGGAUUUGGCUUCAGCUGUUGCAUUAAUUACCCCUGCAAUAAAGAUAACCAAGUCUCUCUUACUAUCCCUCCUCACCUUCCUUUCCUCAUCCCUAACACGUUCCUGCCUCUGAGUCCAUGCAUUCACUGUUCCUAUUUCCUCUCUAACACUUUCUUCAUUACUUCUCUUGGCUUGCUCCACUCUUUUAACUGCUUCUGUAUAAGGAACCCUAUCCUUCCUUUUCACAUUCUGAAUCUCAGUCUCCUUUCUCAUUGCUUCACAGCCCCAGAAGGCCGCACUGUGCUCCCCUCCACAAUUACAGCAUUUAGGUAUUACCCCCUCACCGCAUUCUCCAUAGUCAUGCUCCCCACCACAUUUAGCACACCUUUUUUUCCCCUUACACAUUUUAGCUACAUGGCCAAAUUUUUGGCACUUGUAGCAUCUCAUUGGCUUAUGCAUGAACUCUCUUACCCUGUAUCUCAUAAAUCCAAAGUAAAGUUCUGUGGGCAAUUCUUUUGAGUUAAACUGUAUCAGAACUGACUCGGUUUCUUUCUUCUCAACCCCCUUGGUUAGACGUUUUGCACUCUGAACAGAUUCACAUCUUUCUUUUAAAUGCUUAACCAGCUCCUUUACCUCAACUGCUAAAGGAAUCCCAUAGAUCACUCCUUCCCUACCUUGCUCACCCACUUUCACCGCCUUUACUACCACUACUUUCCCCACAGCUUGCAUCUUUAACGCUCUUCCAGCCUGCUCUUCAGAGUUGCAUCCAAUUAAUAAAUUUCCAUCAUUAAGAAUUCUAGCAUACUUGACCUCGCCAACCUGAUUCUUAAUUAUUUUUGUCAGUUUUAGUGGAUCCAAACUCUUCACCCCUGGCUCUUCAAACCUAACAACAACAUUCCAUUUCUCCUCACUUUCUUUCAUCCCUCUAGUCCGCUUUGCUUUAUUUAUUCUCCUAAUCUGCCAGCUUCCAUCAUCUUGAUCCAAACCAUCCAUACUGCAACUGCUAUCCUCCUGCAUGUUUGCCAUGAUAGAAAACUCUGCAGGUGUAUCGUGUACCGGACCUAUACAGGCCGUCGGCCGAUACUCCCGCAAAAUUCCUCCCUCACUACCUCUAUCCUAAGUCUAACAAUUCCUAACGAUGCUUCUUUUUAAAUUUCCUCCCUUAUUGUUUUUCCAACAAAUUACGGCGCAGCUCGAUGCUCAACCCACGCCUGAGUUCCACGCUUCCUCGACAAACGAUCCCUCCUUUGCCCUUCUGCUUUCAAUGGAGAUUUUGAAGGAGGGGAGUUCAUAUUCACAGAAAUGGAUGCCAAAACCGUCACGGCAUCGGUGAAGCCCUUAUGCGGCCGGAUGGUGGGUUUCUCAUCCGGGGGGGAGAAUCCACACGGCGUGAAGGCCGUCACCAGCGGGCAGCGGUGUGCCGUCGCUCUGUGGUUCACCCUCGACCCGCUCUUCAGAGAACUGGAGAGACUGCAGGCGGACGAGGUGAUCCAGGCGCUGGACAGGGAGUCCACGUGGGGCGGAGGCCUCAACAUCAACCCCAAAGAUGAACUGUAGAAGCUGAAGCAAAACGCCUUCAGUCCAAUACGCUUCAAUCUAAUCCUUCUAUAUUUUAACUAUUUAUUGAACCGACCUUGUACUUUGUUACGUGAUACCUCUGGUUUUAUCGAUUUAUAGAUAGACAGACGGACAAAUACAUAUCUAGAUGCUGCCAUGGAUUCCGUGUAGGAUUCCAUGUAAUAUUUUACUACGCUUUGUAGGAGCCAGUUUUAAUUGACAUUGAGUGGAAGAUACCAAAUUGAGCCAGCAGGUGUCACCAUGGUGCACUUGCUUUAUUAGGUGGGAACUUUGAGCCAGGUGGCAGGUGUUGCGAGACGGAGGAGCACACAGUUUUCUCUGUCACAAUACGUGGUUGUAAGUGACAGCUAAAUGGACUCCACAUUGUGCUAAAUAAACCAAAUAUUCAAACACAGAAUCA